AUUAGCGGAUGACUUGUGGCUGGGGGUGAAAGGCCAAUCAAACCGGGAGAUAGCUGGUUCUCCCCGAAAGCUAUUUAGGUAGCGCCUCGUGAAUUCAUCUCCGGGGGUAGAGCACUGUUUCGGCAAGGGGGUCAUCCCGACUUACCAACCCGAUGCAAACUGCGAAUACCGGAGAAUGUUAUCACGGGAGACACACGGCGGGUGCUAACGUCCGUCGUGAAGAGGGAAACAACCCAGACCGCCAGCUAAGGUCCCAAAGUCAUGGUUAAGUGGGAAACGAUGUGGGAAGGCCCAGACAGCCAGGAUGUUGGCUUAGAAGCAGCCAUCAUUUAAAGAAAGCGUAAUAGCUCACUGGUCGAGUCGGCCUGCGCGGAAGAUGUAACGGGGCUAAACCAUGCACCGAAGCUGCGGCAGCGACACUAUGUGUUGUUGGGUAGGGGAGCGUUCUGUAAGCCUGUGAAGGUGGCCUGUGAGGGUUGCUGGAGGUAUCAGAAGUGCGAAUGCUGACAUAAGUAACGAUAAAGCGGGUGAAAAGCCCGCUCGCCGGAAGACCAAGGGUUCCUGUCCAACGUUAAUCGGGGCAGGGUGAGUCGACCCCUAAGGCGAGGCCGAAAGGCGUAGUCGAUGGGAAACAGGUUAAUAUUCCUGUACUUGGUGUUACUGCGAAGGGGGGACGGAGAAGGCUAUGUUGGCCGGGCGACGGUUGUCCCGGUUUAAGCGUGUAGGCUGGUUUUCCAGGCAAAUCCGGAAAACCAAGGCUGAGGCGUGAUGAC
RNAcentral lists this ribosomal RNA (773 nucleotides) under Escherichia coli. Its description in RNAcentral is "partial 23S ribosomal RNA". It matches the Rfam family "Bacterial large subunit ribosomal RNA", at positions 796 to 1570 of the family's 2925-position model. Lineage: Bacteria; Pseudomonadati; Pseudomonadota; Gammaproteobacteria; Enterobacterales; Enterobacteriaceae. The record is from RNAcentral.